GUUGAGACUGUGGUGGCCAGGAGCAUGCCACUGCACUCCAGUCUGGGUGACAGAGUGAAACUCCAACUCAAAAAAAAAAAAAAUUGGAACUAUACAGAGUAGAUAAGUAUGGCCCCUGUGCAAGGAUGACGUGCAAAUUCAUGAAGAAAUUAAAGUAAAU
RNAcentral lists this small nuclear RNA (160 nucleotides) under Carlito syrichta (Philippine tarsier). The record is from RNAcentral. Lineage: Eukaryota; Metazoa; Chordata; Mammalia; Primates; Tarsiidae.